CGCAGAGAAGAAAUAUUUGAAGAAAAUCCUAAAAUCCUUUUUACUUAAAAAAUUUAAUCUUCCAUAACUUUAGAUCCGUAGCUUCGAUCGCUGCACCGUUUGCAGUCACGCAUUCAUCUCGUUGAGCUCUUCGAUUCUAACUAAACAAAGUAUAUUCAUUUGAGUGAAUUAUAUGAACUAGCUUGAGUUUAUGUUGAAUUGGAGUUGAAUUGACAAAUUGGAGCUCUUGAGAGAAAGCUUUGGUGGCUGGAAUUUUUGCUUGAGUUAAUUUGGGAUCUUGGAAGCUUGUUUCAUGGCGUUUUGAGUUUAGAGAGGAAUCAACCAAGAUGCAGGACGUGAGGCACCUUACUGAGCGUGUUGGAUUUGCCUUUUUGCCAAAGUGAAAACUUAUCUUUUGGGCCUUUUCAUAUUAUGUACUUAGUUAUAUAUGUAUUUUCUUUUUUUUUUGUUUAAAAAAACUCGUAUUUGUCCCUGUUAGAGGUUGACUUUGGAGAAUUAGGAUUUAUAUUUUGUCUUUUCGUAUGUCUGUUGGG
Molecule: long non-coding RNA, 533 nt
Organism: Arachis stenosperma
Lineage: Eukaryota; Viridiplantae; Streptophyta; Magnoliopsida; Fabales; Fabaceae
Exons: 3
Source: RefSeq, a predicted model, not a curated record